Molecule: ribosomal RNA, 472 nt
Filed under: Veillonella parvula
Lineage: Bacteria; Bacillati; Bacillota; Negativicutes; Veillonellales; Veillonellaceae
Description: bacterial SSU rRNA
Rfam family: Bacterial small subunit ribosomal RNA
Source: RNAcentral
GACGAACGCUGGCGGCGUGCUUAACACGUGCAAGUCGAACGAAGAGCGAUGGAAGCUUGCUUCUAUCAAUCUUAGUGGCGAACGGGUGAGUAACGCGUAAUCAACCUGCCCUUCAGAGGGGGACAACAGUUGGAAACGACUGCUAAUACCGCAUACGAUCUAAUCUCGGCAUCGAGGAUAGAUGAAAGGUGGCCUCUACAUGUAAGCUAUCACUGAAGGAGGGGAUUGCGUCUGAUUAGCUAGUUGGAGGGGUAACGGCCCACCAAGGCGAUGAUCAGUAGCCGGUCUGAGAGGAUGAACGGCCACAUUGGGACUGAGACACGGCCCAGACUCCUACGGGAGGCAGCAGUGGGGAAUCUUCCGCAAUGGACGAAAGUCUGACGGAGCAACGCCGCGUGAGUGAUGACGGCCUUCGGGUUGUAAAGCUCUGUUAAUCGGGACGAAAGGCCUUCUUGCGAACAGUGAGAAGGAU